RNAcentral lists this ribosomal RNA (1680 nucleotides) under human gut metagenome. RNAcentral describes it as "bacterial LSU rRNA". It matches the Rfam family "Bacterial large subunit ribosomal RNA", at positions 1136 to 2824 of the family's 2925-position model. The record is from RNAcentral.
AAUAGCUCACUAGUCGAGUGACUCUGCGCCGAAAAUGUACCGGGGCUAAGCAUAUUACCGAAGCUAUGGAUGCAUCCAUCAGGAUGCGUGGUAGGAGAGCGUUCCAAGGGCGAUGAAGUCAGACCGUAAGGACUGGUGGAGCGCUUGGAAGUGAGAAUGCCGGUAUGAGUAGCGAAAGACAGGUGAGAAUCCUGUCCACCGAAUGACUAAGGUUUCCUGGGGAAGGCUCGUCCUCCCAGGGUUAGUCGGGACCUAAGUCGAGGCCGAGAGGCGUAGACGAUGGACAACAGGUUGAUAUUCCUGUACCAGUUGAUUGUGCUUGAGUGAUGGAGUGACGCAGAAGGCUAAGCGAUCCGGACGAUUGGAAGUGUCCGGCCAAGCAGCAAGUCAGUUGAUGAGUCAAAUGCUUAUCAGCGGGUUGACAAGCUGUGACGGGGAGCGAAAUUAUAGUAGCGAAGUCGUUGAUGUCACGCUGCCGAGAAAAGCUUCUAGCGAAUAAUCAACUGCCCGUACCGCAAACCGACACAGGUAGUCGAGGAGAGUAUCCUAAGGUGAGCGAGCGAACUCUCGUUAAGGAACUCGGCAAAAUGACCCCGUAACUUCGGGAGAAGGGGUGCUGAUCGCAAGAUCAGCCGCAGUGAAAAGGCCCAGGCGACUGUUUAUCAAAAACACAGGUUUCUGCAAAAUCGUAAGAUGAAGUAUAGGGGCUGACGCCUGCCCGGUGCUGGAAGGUUAAAAGGAAGAGUUAGCUUCGGCGAAGCCCUGAAUUGAAGCCCCAGUAAACGGCGGCCGUAACUAUAACGGUCCUAAGGUAGCGAAAUUCCUUGUCGGGUAAGUUCCGACCCGCACGAAAGGCGUAACGAUCUGGGCACUGUCUCAACGAGAGACUCGGUGAAAUUGAAUUGCCUGUGAAGAUGCAGGCUACCCGCGACAGGACGGAAAGACCCCAUGGAGCUUUACUGUAGCUUGAUAUUGAGUGCUUGUACUGCUUGUACAGGAUAGGUAGGAGCCAUAGAAGCCAGGACGCUAGUUUUGGCAGAGGCGUUGGUGGGAUACUACCCUUGCAUUAUGAUCACUCUAACCCGCACCACUGAUCGUGGUGGGAGACAGUGUCAGGUGGGCAGUUUGACUGGGGCGGUCGCCUCCCAAAAGAUAACGGAGGCGCCCAAAGGUUCGCUCAGAAUGGUUGGAAAUCAUUCGCAGAGUGUAAAGGCACAAGCGAGCUUGACUGCGAGACAGACAGGUCGAGCAGGGACGAAAGUCGGGCUUAGUGAUCCGGUGGUUCCGCAUGGAAGGGCCAUCGCUCAACGGAUAAAAGCUACCCUGGGGAUAACAGGCUUAUCUCCCCCAAGAGUCCACAUCGACGGGGAGGUUUGGCACCUCGAUGUCGGCUCAUCGCAUCCUGGGGCUGUAGUCGGUCCCAAGGGUUGGGCUGUUCGCCCAUUAAAGCGGUACGCGAGCUGGGUUCAGAACGUCGUGAGACAGUUCGGUCCCUAUCCGUCGCGGGCGUAGGAAAUUUGAGAGGACCUGUCCUUAGUACGAGAGGACCGGGAUGGACAUACCGCUGGUGUACCAGUUGUUCCGCCAGGAGCAUCGCUGGGUAGCUAUGUAUGGAUGAGAUAAACGCUGAAAGCAUCUAAGCGUGAAACUCGCCUCAAGAUGAGAUUUCCCAUUCCUUAU